Long non-coding RNA from Rhodamnia argentea, 446 nucleotides. RefSeq lists it as uncharacterized. The record is from RefSeq and is a predicted model, not a curated record. The transcript has 3 exons. NCBI's taxonomy places the organism in Eukaryota, Viridiplantae, Streptophyta, Magnoliopsida, Myrtales, Myrtaceae.
GGACGAAUCAACGGAGGGCGAGGAAGAAGAAACGGACGACCAAAUCACCGGCAUUCGUUCUGUCUCAGAAGACGGUCAAGAACCUAGAACUUGUUGCAGCCACAUUGGAAACCUUCUUAAAUAAAAUUAUUUUACUUCCCUCGACAGUGUCUCUUUACCAUGUAUCUGCGGUGAUCCUGAUUCGGAUGAACGGUGAAUACCACGCAGCCGACGAUCUCUAUGGAGCGGCAUUGACUAAGGACUGGUUGCAAUAUGAACCGAAAUUGGAGGAUGAAGAUUUGGCCCAGUCUUUCCAACAAAAUUUGUCCUUCGAAUCAUCCUCACCUUUUGACAUUGCAAGCAUAUUCCGACCUUUUCCGUUCCCAUUUUAUCCCGAUAACGGGCAAGCCUUUCAGCAUCCAGAAUGUGUCCAUUCUUAUGCUUCCGAUGGUUCGCUUACUAAUCAC